GACAGAGGGUGCAAACGUUGUUCGGAAUUACUGGGCGUAAAGCGCGUGUAGGCUGCCCUGCAAGUCGGAUGUGAAAGCCCUGGGCUCAACCUAGGAAGUGCACUCGAAACUGCAGGGCUGGAGUCCUGGAGAGGAAGGCGGAAUUCUCGGUGUAGAGGUGAAAUUCGUAGAUAUCGAGAGGAACACCGGUGGCGAAGGCGGCCUUCUGGACAGUGACUGGCGCUGAGACGCGAAAGCGUGGGGAGCAAACAGG
This 253-nucleotide ribosomal RNA is filed under the name uncultured bacterium. RNAcentral's name for it is "partial 16S ribosomal RNA". It matches the Rfam family "Bacterial small subunit ribosomal RNA", at positions 524 to 776 of the family's 1533-position model. The record is from RNAcentral.